UCCCUAGUAGCUCAGUGGUAGAGCGCUCGACUGUUAAUCGAUUGGUCGUAGGUUCAAAUCCUACCUGGGGAG
RNAcentral lists this transfer RNA (72 nucleotides) under Rickettsiaceae bacterium. RNAcentral describes it as "tRNA-Asn". It matches the Rfam family "tRNA". Rfam says of the family: Transfer RNA (tRNA) molecules are approximately 80 nucleotides in length. RNAcentral also lists the same sequence under 1 other name. The record is from RNAcentral. Lineage: Bacteria; Pseudomonadati; Pseudomonadota; Alphaproteobacteria; Rickettsiales; Rickettsiaceae.